UUCUCCUCACCCACAGGUGGCAAGUUAUGGUGUGAAGCCAAGAUAUGGUCUAGUGACAUAUGCCACAUACCCCAAAAUUUGGGUCAAAGUGUCUGAAGCAGACAGCAGUAAUGCAGACUGGGUCACGAAGCAGCUCAAUGAAAUCAAUUAUGAAGACCACAAGUUGAAGUCAGGGACUAACACCAAGAAGGCCCUCCAGGCAGUGUACAGCAUGAUGAGCUGGCCAGAUGACGUCCCUCCUGAAGGCUGGAACCGCACCCGCCAUGUCAUCAUCCUCAUGACUGAUGGAUUGCACAACAUGGGCGGGGACCCAAUUACUGUCAUUGAUGAGAUCCGGGACUUGCUAUACAUUGGCAAGGAUCGCAAAAACCCAAGGGAGGAUUAUCUGGAUGUCUAUGUGUUUGGGGUCGGGCCUUUGGUGAACCAAGUGAACAUCAAUGCUUUGGCUUCCAAGAAAGACAAUGAGCAACAUGUGUUCAAAGUCAAGGAUAUGGAAAACCUGGAAGAUGUUUUCUACCAAAUGAUCGGUAGGGAGAUACAAGGGAAUAAAGAACACAACUCUCCUCAG
This 568-nucleotide unclassified non-coding RNA is filed under the name Homo sapiens (human). RNAcentral's name for it is "complement factor B (multiple genes)". Lineage: Eukaryota; Metazoa; Chordata; Mammalia; Primates; Hominidae. The record is from RNAcentral.